ACCCAUGAUUGGGCCUCCACGUGAAGUAGCCCUGUGGCAUCAAUACCUGAAGCCAGUGUUCACUUUUGCAUCUACGUGCCUUCGCAACAUGUGCUUUGGACUUCUAAAUUUCAGCCACGCGAUGCUUACCCAAUUUUACAGCGUAGUUAGGUUCACCGUCACAACCCUACACUUUCAAUGGUUUCUUCCUUCCUUUCUUCCAACCCUUUAGAUGGCGUCUUCUUGUAAAACAUAGCUUUGAUUAGUAGGGAGGAAUUAUCCUCGUUCUUCAAAUGUCCAUAUCAACCUCUAGUUGAGGCUUCACACCUCAUAGGGUAUUUUAAACUUUGAGAACCCGAGAGAGCUUUUUGGUGGAACUAAAUGGAGUUCCACCAAACGAUUUGGUUUUCUGCUGCGAGUUUCCUUCGAUUCCAAUGAGGGAUUGUCGAUUUGAGGUUGAUUGGACCGAGAUUCCAACGAAUAUGCAUGAUGCCAACCUCAUCAAGUGGUAUUCAAAUACUUUGAGCUUGGAUCGUCGAGAGACAACUGUCAAUCUUCUUAUCUCAUUUUCUUAUUCCAAUGUAAUUACUUCUCUUGAAGGUGGAGUUGGAGUGCAUGGGGCUACUGUGAGGGAAUACAAGUGAGAUGGCUACCUGAGGGACUUUUGAGAAGUGAGUUGGGACUUAAAGUGCAAGACAUAUUUGUGGGAAUAUCAUUUUGGGGCUGGUCCGAGAGAGAGCAUUGCAGCCCAGGCCCAAUUUCUUUUAUUUUUGUGUUGUUUCUGAUAAUGUUGUCAUUGAUGCGAUCAAAUUAAUACUACUAAACUAUAGCAACGUCAGUAUUGCUAAGAUAGUAGUCAACAAAAUAGAUAGGGUAAAGUAACCCAAAGUCGUCUCUCAACGAACACGGAAUUGAUUUU
Vigna unguiculata (cowpea) is the source of this 898-nucleotide long non-coding RNA. RefSeq lists it as uncharacterized. Lineage: Eukaryota; Viridiplantae; Streptophyta; Magnoliopsida; Fabales; Fabaceae. The record is from RefSeq and is a predicted model, not a curated record.